RNAcentral lists this ribosomal RNA (429 nucleotides) under Actinomycetes bacterium. Its description in RNAcentral is "Actinobacteria bacterium partial 16S ribosomal RNA". It matches the Rfam family "Bacterial small subunit ribosomal RNA", at positions 355 to 776 of the family's 1533-position model. The record is from RNAcentral. Lineage: Bacteria; Bacillati; Actinomycetota; Actinomycetes.
UAGGGAAUCUUCCGCAAUGGGCGAAAGCCUGACGGAGCAACGCCGCGUGAGUGAUGAAGGUCUUCGGAUCGUAAAACUCUGUUAUUAGGGAAGAACAAAUGUGUAAGUAACUAUGCACGUCUUGACGGUACCUAAUCAGAAAGCCACGGCUAACUACGUGCCAGCAGCCGCGGUAAUACGUAGGUGGCAAGCGUUAUCCGGAAUUAUUGGGCGUAAAGCGCGCGUAGGCGGUUUUUUAAGUCUGAUGUGAAAGCCCACGGCUCAACCGUGGAGGGUCAUUGGAAACUGGAAAACUUGAGUGCAGAAUAGGAAAGUGGAAUUCCAUGUGUAGCGGUGAAAUGCGCAGAGAUAUGGAGGAACACCAGUGGCGAAGGCGACUUUCUGGUCUGUAACUGAAGCUGAUGUGCGAAAGCGUGGGGAUCUAACAGG